This 1216-nucleotide long non-coding RNA is filed under the name Helianthus annuus (common sunflower). RNAcentral's name for it is "hypothetical non coding rna". The record is from RNAcentral. Lineage: Eukaryota; Viridiplantae; Streptophyta; Magnoliopsida; Asterales; Asteraceae.
GCUGUGAAUCAAAUUCCAAUAUUCGAUUGAAAUACAAGCUUACUAGACAAGAUCUAGUUGCAAUCUCUCAUAUCUCCUUUUAUCUCUCAUCUCUCUCUAUUUCUUGAAAUACUCUCACCACCAUCUCUCAUUUUGUUCAAAAAUCUUCUGCGUUAGGGGAACCGGAGAAGGAGAUCGGAGAGUGAGAGAGAGAAAGACGGUGGAAGGAGGUGGGGAGGUGUUGGUGGGGACGGAGGUGGCGGAAGACGGUGAUAGGGAUGUUUGGCAUGCUCCGGUGACCAAGUCGUUGGUGGGAGGUGGUGGGAGGUGGCGGAAGACGGUGAUGGCGGUGGUGGUGGCUGCUCUCCGGCGGCAUCUUCUGCUCCCUUUCCUCUCCGCCGCCCCUUUGUGACUGGUGUUUGGUGGUGGUGGCGUUGGGGUUGGUGGCGGUGGCGUUGGGGAUGGUGGUUGAGCCCGAGGGAAGGCGUUGGCUGAGCCGGUGAAGCCAGAUGCAGAUCUUUUGUUAUUUGAUCUGUUGGUAUUUCUUGUUGUUGGUAUUGAUCUGUUGUGAUUUUUGGUAGAUUCGGUCAGUGAUUUUUGCUGGGUUUGCUGGUGAUUUUGAAUAUUUGAAUCUGUGGGUUUUGCUGGUGCUUUUUGGUAGUUUUUCGAACAGUAGUUAUGUGGGUUUUGAUCCGUUUUGGAUUCGGGCGGUGACGAUGCAAAAAAAAAAACAUAUAUUUUGAUUACGAUUGGGCGGCACGGUUGGUGGAUGGUAGAUUUUUGAAACUGAACCCCCACUUUGCAGCCUCUCUGAUUAUCGAAAAAAAUCUGAACCAAACCCCUUUUUUCAAGAAUCCAAACAUUUGUUUUUGAUUUUUGUUGUUGAUUUUUUAUUUUUUUCCUCGGUCGAUGAUGAUCACAAUAUACCUGAGACACCUACCGAGUUGCGAUUUCUGGGUGCGUUCGUUUUUUUGUAAAAAAUGUUUGAAAAAAAACGCUUAAACCGUAAACUUGUUACGUAAAACGUAAACUUUUUUAGUGUAAAAACGUAAAAGGGUUAACGUAAAAAUGUAACGUAAAACUUUUACGUAAAACGUAAAAACGUAAAGCGUAAAACUUUAACGUAAAACAUAAAAAGUCUAACGUAAAACGUAAAAAUUUUAACGUAAAACGUAAAAAGUUUUACGUAAAUCGUAAAACGUUAAAAGUUUUACGUAGAACAUAAAACGUAAAUCGU